RNAcentral lists this ribosomal RNA (298 nucleotides) under uncultured bacterium. RNAcentral describes it as "partial 16S ribosomal RNA". It matches the Rfam family "Bacterial small subunit ribosomal RNA", at positions 28 to 321 of the family's 1533-position model. The record is from RNAcentral.
GACGAACGCUGGCGGCGUGCUUAACACAUGCAAGUCGAGCGGUAAGGCCCUUUCGGGGGUACGACGAGCGGCGAACGGGUGAGUAACACGUGGGUGACCUGCCCUCAGCUCUGGGAUAAGCCUGGGGAAACUGGGUCUAAUACCGGGAUAUGACUCCAUGACGCAUGUUGUGGGGUGGGAAAGCCUUGUGCGGCUGAGGAUGGGCCCGCGGCCUAUCGAGCUUGUUGGUGGGGUGANGGCCUACCAAGGCGACGACGGGUAGCCGGCCUGAGGAGGGCGACCGGCCACACUGGGACUG